Molecule: small nucleolar RNA, 109 nt
Organism: Cynocephalus volans (Philippine flying lemur)
Lineage: Eukaryota; Metazoa; Chordata; Mammalia; Dermoptera; Cynocephalidae
Product: small nucleolar RNA SNORA40
Exons: 1
Source: RefSeq, a predicted model, not a curated record
UUUCAUUUCCUUAAAUGCCUGGAACAGGUGCAAAAAAAAAAAAAAUCCUCUUUUGGAACCCACAACUCAUUGUUCAGUAUGAGUUUCAAUACAUAGAAGAAGGAAUAUU